CAAUAGCGUAUAUUAAAGUUGUUGACAGUUAAAAAGCUCGUAGUUGGAUUUCUGGUGGGGGUGUUUGGCCCGGCUCUAAUGAGUUUUGCGCCUAUACGUCUCCGCCAUCCUUGGGGAAAACUUGCUUGGCAUUAAGUUGUCGAGUUUGGGAUCCCCAUCGUUUACUGUGAAAAAAUUUAGAGUAGUUCAAAGCAGGCUUAUGCCGUUGAAUACAUUAGCAUGGAAUAAUAAGAUAGGACCUUGGUACUAUUUUGUUGGUUUGCGUACCUAGGUAAUGAUUAAUAGGGACAGUUGGGGGUAUUCGUAUUCAAUUGUCAGAGGUGAAAUUCUUGGAUUUAUGGAAGACGAACUACUGCGAAAGCAUUUACCAAGGAUGUUUUCAUUAAUCUAAG
RNAcentral lists this ribosomal RNA (392 nucleotides) under uncultured eukaryote. Its description in RNAcentral is "bacterial SSU rRNA". It matches the Rfam family "Eukaryotic small subunit ribosomal RNA", at positions 592 to 981 of the family's 1831-position model. The record is from RNAcentral.